UCCAUGAAAGGUUUCAGGAAGCUGGAUCUGCUGAAUUAUGACGUGGCAGCUGGGGCAGUCUGUGACAACAGACACUGGACACUCAUUAUAAUGUAUCUGAAAGAAAUGUGGGCUGUCUUUGUUGACCCAUUUGGGGCAACACAAGCACAACUCGAUAGGUGCAGGGAUGUGACAAGGUACGCACAACAGGCUAAUGUUAACCACAGCAGUCAGAUUUCUAACUUGUACAUGUGGAUCACAUAAGGCUGCUGCACUGGAUGACAUUCAGUACCUGUUCCUUUUCUUGUUUUUUGUACUCAUCUGUUUUUUCUUUUUUUUAACAUUUGAAAGAGCUCUGGUUAGACGGAAAUGUCCAGCCAUCGGCAAAUGGACAUGCUCAACUGUUGCCCAU
Long non-coding RNA from Astatotilapia calliptera (eastern happy), 391 nucleotides. The record is from Ensembl. Lineage: Eukaryota; Metazoa; Chordata; Actinopteri; Cichliformes; Cichlidae.